RNAcentral lists this ribosomal RNA (253 nucleotides) under uncultured bacterium. RNAcentral's name for it is "partial 16S ribosomal RNA". It matches the Rfam family "Bacterial small subunit ribosomal RNA", at positions 524 to 776 of the family's 1533-position model. The record is from RNAcentral.
GACAGAGGGUGCAAACGUUGUUCGGAAUUACUGGGCGUAAAGCGCGUGUAGGCUGCUCGGAAAGUCGGGUGUGAAAGCCCUGGGCUCAACCUAGGAAGUGCACUCGAAACUUCCGAGCUGGAGUGCUGGAGAGGAAGGCGGAAUUCUCGGUGUAGAGGUGAAAUUCGUAGAUAUCGAGAGGAACACCGGUGGAGAAGGCGGCCUUGUGGACAGCUACUGACGCUGAGACGCGAAAGCGUGGGGAGCAAACAGG